This 425-nucleotide ribosomal RNA is filed under the name uncultured bacterium. Its description in RNAcentral is "bacterial SSU rRNA". It matches the Rfam family "Bacterial small subunit ribosomal RNA", at positions 355 to 796 of the family's 1533-position model. The record is from RNAcentral.
UAAGGAAUCUUCCACAAUGGACGAAAGUCUGAUGGAGCAACGCCGCGUGCAGGAAGACGGCCUUCGGGUUGUAAACUGCUUUUAUUAGUGAAGAUUAUGACGGUAACUAAUGAAUAAGGACCGGCUAACUACGUGCCAGCAGCCGCGGUAAUACGUAGGGUCCAAGCGUUAUCCGGAAUUACUGGGCGUAAAGCGUGCGUAGGCGGAAAAUUGCGUGAGAUGCGAAAUCCGGUGGCUCAACCAUCUGGACUGUAUCUCAUACGGGUUUUCUUGAGGACGGCAGAGGCAAGUGGAAUUACCGGUGUAGCAGUGAAAUGCGUAGAUAUCGGUAGGAACACCAAUGGCGAAGGCAGCUUGCUGGGCCAUUUCUGACGCUGAGGCACGAAAGCGUGGGGAGCGAACAGGAUUAGAUACCCCCGUAGUCC